RNAcentral lists this ribosomal RNA (301 nucleotides) under uncultured bacterium. RNAcentral describes it as "partial 16S ribosomal RNA". It matches the Rfam family "Bacterial small subunit ribosomal RNA", at positions 509 to 807 of the family's 1533-position model. The record is from RNAcentral.
CAGCCGCCACGGGAAUACGGAGGGUGCAAGCGUUAAUCGGAAUUACUGGGCGUAAAGCGCACGCAGGCGGUCUGACAAGUCAGAUGUGAAAUCCCCGGGCUUAACCUGGGAACUGCAUCUGAAACUGUCAGGCUGGAGUCUUGUAGAGGGGGGUGGAAUUCCAGGUGUAGCGGUGAAAUGCGUAGAGAUCUGGAGGAAUACCGGUGGCGAAGGCGGCCCCCUGGACAAAGACUGACGCUCAGGUGCGAAAGCGUGGGGAGCAAACAGGAUUAGAUACCCGCGUAGUCCCUGUCUCUUAUAC